UACGGAGGGGGCUAGCGUUGUUCGGAAUUACUGGGCGUAAAGCGCACGUAGGCGGCCUUUUAAGUCAGGGGUGAAAUCCCGGGGCUCAACCCCGGAACUGCCCUUGAAACUGGGAGGCUAGAAUCUUGGAGAGGCGAGUGGAAUUCCGAGUGUAGAGGUGAAAUUCGUAGAUAUUCGGAGGAACACCAGUGGCGAAGGCGACUCGCUGGACAAGCAUUGACGCUGAGGUGCGAAAGCGUGGGGAGCAAACAGG
RNAcentral lists this ribosomal RNA (253 nucleotides) under uncultured bacterium. RNAcentral's name for it is "partial 16S ribosomal RNA". It matches the Rfam family "Bacterial small subunit ribosomal RNA", at positions 524 to 776 of the family's 1533-position model. The record is from RNAcentral.